RNAcentral lists this unclassified non-coding RNA (751 nucleotides) under Hevea brasiliensis (rubber tree). Lineage: Eukaryota; Viridiplantae; Streptophyta; Magnoliopsida; Malpighiales; Euphorbiaceae. The record is from RNAcentral.
CAGAAAUGGAAGCAACUUCUACUUCUCCUUUCAAGAUAAUCUUGGGAUCAUCUUCGGUUGCGCGGAGGAAAAUAUUAGCUGAGAUGGGAUAUGAAUUUGAAAUCAUUACUGCAGAUAUUGACGAAAAAUGUAUACGGAAGGAAAAGCCAGAAGAGUUGGUAAUGGCUCUUGCUGAGGCUAAGGCUGAAGCCAUCUUGCAAAAGCCCCCAGUACAUGACUAUGUUAAGGAAGCUGAGCCAGUAUUAUUAAUUACUUGUGAUCAAGUGGUGGUUUAUGAAGGUGCAGUCAGGGAAAAGCCAUCCAGUGAGGAAGAAGCACGGCAUUUUAUGAAAGGUUAUUCUGGUCGGUAUGCUGCAACUGUGAGUUCUGUUCUUGUUACAAAUCUUAAAACUGGAUUCAGAAAAGUAGAAUGUGACAGAGUGGAGAUCUAUUUCCAUGAAAUACCAGAUGAAGUCAUUGAAAAGCUGAUCGAAGAGGGACUUGUGCUCAGAGUUGCUGGGGGCCUUAUAAUAGAGCAUCCUUUAAUAUUGCCUUACGUUAAAGAAGUGGUAGGGACAACUGAUAGCGUGAUGGGACUUCCCAAAGCCCUCACUGAAAAACUUGUGAAAGAGGCUCUCUAGCUACUCCAGCUGUUUUCUUAUCCAUUCUUUUUGGUAUUAAUCCCACAGGCAUUCUUGCUUUCCUUCACUGUUAUUGCUCCACUCAACAUUGCUUUGAACUUGAUAAAUCAAUCAUUUGUCAUCACCCCAUC